RNAcentral lists this ribosomal RNA (388 nucleotides) under uncultured bacterium. RNAcentral describes it as "bacterial SSU rRNA". It matches the Rfam family "Bacterial small subunit ribosomal RNA", at positions 976 to 1381 of the family's 1533-position model. The record is from RNAcentral.
UACCCUUGACAUCCCGAUCGCGGUUUCCAGAGAUGGAUUCCUUCAGUUAGGCUGGAUCGGUGACAGGUGCUGCAUGGCUGUCGUCAGCUCGUGUCGUGAGAUGUUGGGUUAAGUCCCGCAACGAGCGCAACCCUCAUCCUUAGUUGCCAUCACGUUUGGGUGGGCACUCUAAGGAAACUGCCGGUGGCAAGCCGGAGGAAGGUGGGGAUGACGUCAAGUCCUCAUGGCCCUUACGGGUAGGGCUACACACGUGCUACAAUGGCAGUGACAAUGGGUUAAUCCCAAAAAGCUGUCUCAGUUCAGAUUGUCCUCUGCAACUCGAGGGCAUGAAGGUGGAAUCGCUAGUAAUCGUGGAUCAGCAUGCCACGGUGAAUACGUUCCCGGGCCU